Molecule: ribosomal RNA, 120 nt
Filed under: uncultured bacterium
Lineage: Bacteria
Description: partial 16S ribosomal RNA
Rfam family: Bacterial small subunit ribosomal RNA
Source: RNAcentral
GACGAACGCUGGCGGCGUGCCUCAUACAUGCAAGUGGAGCGACGAACCAGGGCUUUGCCCUGGGGCUAAGCCGCGAACGGGUGAGUAACACGUGGGUAACCUGCCCCGAAGACCGGGACA